ACAUUCACGGGAAUUAUGUCCUAGAAGCUUGGCAAUUUUUUUUUCCAAAAGCAUUCUUUGUUUUUCUAAAAAUAUCAAUUUGGUAUUAGGAAAUGAAAGACCUGUAGGUCCUGGCUGGGCGUGGUGGUUCACGCCUGUAAUCCCAGCACUUUGGGAGGCUGAGUUUUUUCAGACUUGGCUCUGGGUAGGUCCUCCUAAGCACUCAGUUUUGAGCUGCAUAUGUGAAGGCAGAGCAGGAAUAAAAGGAGAAAAUACUGAGAAGAGUCCAAAAUAUGACUAAAGAGAUGAAAAAAACAAAAUGAAUGGUUGCUCACACCUCUUUCCUAUCCCUACAUAGAAACAAACAGGAAAAUCAGAGCAACAGGGAGUUUUAGUGAUAAAACA
Homo sapiens (human) is the source of this 384-nucleotide long non-coding RNA. Lineage: Eukaryota; Metazoa; Chordata; Mammalia; Primates; Hominidae. The record is from Ensembl.